RNAcentral lists this ribosomal RNA (244 nucleotides) under uncultured bacterium. Its description in RNAcentral is "partial 16S ribosomal RNA". It matches the Rfam family "Bacterial small subunit ribosomal RNA", at positions 89 to 334 of the family's 1533-position model. The record is from RNAcentral.
UGGCGACCGGCGCACGGGUGAGUAACGCGUAUGCAACCUGCCUGAUACCGGGGUAUAGCCCAUGGAAACGUGGAUUAACACCCCAUAGUACUUUUAUCCUGCCUGGGAUGGGAGUUAAAUGUUCAAGGUAUCGGAUGGGCAUGCGUCCUAUUAGUUAGUUGGCGGGGUAACAGCCCACCAAGACGAUGAUAGGUAGGGGUUCUGAGAGGAAGGUCCCCCACAUUGGAACUGAGACACGGUCCAA